GUCGAACGAGAAAGUUUCCUUCGGGAAAUUAGUAAAGUGGCGCAAGGGUGAGUAUCACGUGAAUAAUCUGCCCUCGAGGUCGGGAUAACAUGGUGAAAACUAUGCUAAUACCGGAUAAGACCACAUUUCAUAAGAAAUGCGGUAAAAGGAGUCUCAAUCUUCACUCGAGGAUGAGUUCGCGCAACAUUAGCUUGUUGGUGAGAUAAAAGCUCACCAAGGCUACGAUGUUUAGCCGGCCUGAGAGGGUGAACGGCCACACUGGAACUGAGACACGGUCCAGACUCCUACGGGAGGCAGCAGUGGGGAAUAUUGCGCAAUGGGCGAAAGCCUGACGCAGCAACGCCGUGUGAGCGAUGAAGGCUUUAGAGUCGUAAAGCUCUGUCAAAUGGGAAGAAUUUUGACGGUACCAUUAGAGGAAGCCCCGGCUAACUCCGUGCCAGCAGCCGCGGUAAUACGGAGGGGGCAAGCGUUGUUCGGAAUUAUUGGGCGUAAAGCGUAUGUAGGCGGUUAAGUAAGUCAGGCGUGCAAGCCCGUGGCUCAACCACGGAAUUGCGUUUGAAACUAUUUGGCUUGAGUACAGGAGAGGAAAGCGGAAUUCCCAGUGUAGCGGUGAAAUGCAUUGAUAUUGGGAAGAACAUCUGUGGCGAAGGCGGCUUUCUGGUCUGUUACUGACGCUGAGAUACGAAAGCCAGGGUAGCGAACGGGAUUAGAUACCCCGGUAGUCCUGGCUGUAAACGAUGGGCACUAGGUGCAGGAGGUAUCGAUCCCCUCUGUGCCGUAGCUAACGCGUUAAGUGCCCCGCCUGGGGAGUA
RNAcentral lists this ribosomal RNA (812 nucleotides) under uncultured bacterium. RNAcentral describes it as "bacterial SSU rRNA". It matches the Rfam family "Bacterial small subunit ribosomal RNA", at positions 61 to 882 of the family's 1533-position model. The record is from RNAcentral.